UUUCGCAAUGCCCGAAAGGGUGACGAAGCGACGCCGCGUGGGUGAGGAAGGCCUUCGGGUUGUAAAGCCCUGUCAGGAGUUAAGAAAUGUAAGUGCGCUAAUACCGCAUUUAUUUGACGAAGGCUCCAAAGGAAGUCACGGCUAACUCUGUGCCAGCAGCCGCGGUAAUACAGAGGUGGCAGGCGUUGUUCGGAAUUAUUGGGCGUAAAGGGCACGUAGGUGGGUUUGUAAGUCAGAUGUGAAAGCCUCCUGUUCAACGGGAGAAUUGCAUCUGAAACUACAGAUCUUGAGUGUAGGAGGGGAGAAUGGAACUUCUGGUGGAGCGGUGAAAUGCGUAGAUAUCAGAAGGAACGCCGGCGGCGAAAGCGAUUCUCUGGCCUAUUACUGACACUCAGUGUGCGAAAGCUAGGGUAGCAAACGGGAUUAGAUACCCCGGUAGUCCUAGCCGUAAACGAUGGGCACUAAGUAGAGGGGUUUUA
Molecule: ribosomal RNA, 479 nt
Filed under: uncultured anaerobic ammonium-oxidizing bacterium
Lineage: Bacteria
Description: bacterial SSU rRNA
Rfam family: Bacterial small subunit ribosomal RNA
Source: RNAcentral